UAUCAGGAAAGAGAUGAGGUUUUUUUCUUUUUUUUUUUCUUUUGUCUGCGGCGAUUUUUGUGGAGGCCUGGGCUGGCCGAUUAUUUAACCUCAUAACAAAAGAAAAGAAAAAGUCAAAAAAAAAUUAAAAAAACGCUCAAUGGCAUGUUGUUAUCUUUGUUCUCCGUUAUCGAUCUAGUUUGGAGAUGACCCAAAAGUCAUUACCAGCGCUAGAAACUUAUAGAGUACCGUUGUGACAGUACCAUUUGAGGAAUAGGGGGGUGGUGCCUAGAGCUGGGCUCUCAUUUAGGCGCUGCGUCCCCAAAACUCCAGGCAAAGGGAACCCGGAGUUACUUACGGUCCGGUAUUGAGAUUUCCAUGUGUUUGGACGUUUCAACCCGUUAUCGGCCAAUCAAUGAGCAGAG
This 404-nucleotide small RNA is filed under the name Histoplasma ohiense. RNAcentral describes it as "hypothetical lncRNA". The record is from RNAcentral. Lineage: Eukaryota; Fungi; Ascomycota; Eurotiomycetes; Onygenales; Ajellomycetaceae.